GCCGGGCAUGAUGCCAUAGGCCUAUAAUCCCAGCAGCUUGGGAGGCUGAGGCAGGAGGAUUGCGAGUUCAAAGCCAGCCUCAGUAAUUUAGUGAGGCCUUAGGCAACUCAAUGAGACCCUGUCUCUA
Molecule: small RNA, 127 nt
Filed under: Marmota monax (woodchuck)
Lineage: Eukaryota; Metazoa; Chordata; Mammalia; Rodentia; Sciuridae
Source: RNAcentral